RNAcentral lists this long non-coding RNA (1314 nucleotides) under Phasianus colchicus (ring-necked pheasant). RNAcentral describes it as "lncRNA (ENSPCLG00000000217.1)". The record is from RNAcentral. Lineage: Eukaryota; Metazoa; Chordata; Aves; Galliformes; Phasianidae.
AUGGGGGCUCAGCCGGCGGGAACGCGGCGGGGCUCGGGACCCCUCCCCACCGGGCCGCGGCCCCGUCCCCUCCCGCCGGACAAUGAGUCCCGUAUGCUAAUGAGAGUCUCGCGUCACUUCCGCUCUUUCUCGGCCGCCAUCUUGGCCAGGGCAGGUUCUGGGCAGGAGGGACCCGGCUGUAUUGUCUGCAGGGAGCCCCCCCCCGCCCCGCGGCCCCGCACCCCCCGUCCCGGGGACCGAGCCCAGUGCCGCCGCCGCCCCGCCGCUCCCCGUAGCGUCCCCUUCCGCACACCGCCCCCUCCUCCCCGCCGCCUCCCAGCCCCCUUUGUCUCCCCCGCGCCGCCGCCGGCUGCGCACCGCUCCGCCCGCGCGGGGAUCCGGGCGGCGCCGGGAGGCGGCUCCGCGCCCCUCGCCCCGCGCCGGAGGUGCCGGGACCGCGCCCGCCCCCGCCGCUCGGAGAGCCGCGCUCAGGUAGGUGUGCGCCGCGCUCCGGCCCGGGCGGCCCCCGCCCUCCGCGCCCCCCGGCCGCUCGGAAGAGGAGAGCGGCGGCGCCGAGGGGUCCGGCCCUCGCAUCGGGCGCGGGGACCGUUACGCCGCCGGCGCCCUCCGCGCGGCGCCGCGCUCCCGGCCGGCGGGGGCAGCGCGCGGCGAUGCGGGUCCGGGCCGGGCUCAGCGCGGGCGGGGAAGGGGAGCGGCGCCGGGCCGCGUUCCGCCGCUCAGACAAAGGCGGGCAGCGGGGCUCUGCGGCUCUGCGUGCCGGCACCGCGCGUCGCAGCCCGGGCGGGAAGGGAGGGCAGCGCGCCGUGCGGCGCUCGCGGCGCGGAUGGUGCCUCCCUCCUUUCGUUCCUUUCCUUUUUUCUUUUUUUUUUUUUUUCUCCCCAUUCUGCUCUCCCCCCUCCCCGCCGCGUUACACCCGCGUUGUCGCUCCCGCUGGAUGGCCGUGGCAGAAAAAUACCAGCCCCCACCCAAAAUGCACCGCAGCCCGCCCGGGAGAUGAGUGCGGGAGGCAGCAGGGGGCGCGUUCCGCGCCGGGCAGGGCUGCGGCGGGGGAGGGAGGGCCGCGCUGCGGCCCCGGAGUGCCGCCGCCCGGUGCGGGGCGCCGCGAUUCGCGCCGGCCCGGGAUGUCGGCGCGGGGUUGCAGCGCGAGGCCCGACGCGUCGCGGGGCGGGAGGGGAUCGAGCGCGCGGAGGGCUUCGGAGGAUGCCCGGCUGGCGCGGGAUCCGGCGGGGUCGGUGGCGGCGGCCCCGCGAAGAGGCGCGGCUUCCUGAGCGCGGCUGCGGCCGUAGGAAGUUCUGCGCUCCGGGGUGGUCCUGA